This 374-nucleotide ribosomal RNA is filed under the name uncultured bacterium. Its description in RNAcentral is "bacterial SSU rRNA". It matches the Rfam family "Bacterial small subunit ribosomal RNA", at positions 524 to 898 of the family's 1533-position model. The record is from RNAcentral.
UACGUAGGGUGCGAGCGUUAAUCGGAAUUACUGGGCGUAAAGAGUGCGUAGGCGGUCCCGCAAGUCCGCUGUGAAAGCCCCGGGCUUAACCUGGGAAUGGCAGUGGAAACUAUGGGACUUGAAUCUGGCAGAGGGGGGUGGAAUGCCACGUGUAGCAGUGAAAUGCGUAGAGAUGUGGCGGAACACCGAUGGCGAAGGCAGCCCCCUGGGCUGAGAUUGACGCUCAGGCACGAAAGCGUGGGGAGCAAACAGGAUUAGAUACCCUGGUAGUCCACGCCCUAAACGAUGACAACUAGGUGUUGGGGAAGCGAUUUCUCAGUACCGCAGCUAACGCGUGAAGUUGUCCGCCUGGGGAGUACGGUCGCAAGAUUAAA